GAUGAACGCUGGCGGCGUGCCUAAUACAUGCAAGUCGAGCGAACAGACGAGGAGCUUGCUCCUCUGACGUUAGCGGCGGACGGGUGAGUAACACGUGGAUAACCUACCUAUAAGACUGGGAUAACUUCGGGAAACCGGAGCUAAUACCGGAUAAUAUAUUGAACCGCAUGGUUCAAUAGUGAAAGACGGUUUUGCUGUCACUUAUAGAUGGAUCCGCGCCGCAUUAGCUAGUUGGUAAGGUAACGGCUUACCAAGGCAACGAUGCGUAGCCGACCUGAGAGGGUGAUCGGCCACACUGGAACUGAGACACGGUCCAGACUCCUACGGGAGGCAGCAGUAGGGAAUCUUCCGCAAGGGGCGAAAGCCUGACGGAGCAACGCCGCGUGAGUGAUGAAGGUCUUCGGAUCGUAAAACUCUGUUAUUAGGGAAGAACAAAUGUGUAAGUAACGAUGCACGUCUUGACGGUACCUAAUCAGAAAGCCACGGCUAACUACGU
Molecule: ribosomal RNA, 496 nt
Filed under: uncultured bacterium
Lineage: Bacteria
Description: partial 16S ribosomal RNA
Rfam family: Bacterial small subunit ribosomal RNA
Source: RNAcentral